CCUGUCCCGCCGCACCGCAACUUUCACCUUCUUCCUCGGGAUCCUCCUAGAUCCCCUUCUCACCCAACCAGCACUCGAGGCCUCCCCUCAAUCCACCCGAACUAGCCCCCGAUCCAACCCAUCCGCCACCUCCCGUGCCUCCUCAAGCUCGACACUGCUGCCUCGUGCCGCUCACCGAAGCAACCAGCGACGACCCUCACCUCCAGGACCUCCUCCUCGCCGCCCCAUCUCGUCUCCAAAACUGGAACACCGCUACCAUGGUCGACCUCGACGUGCCUCGCCGCUGUCGGGAAUGGAAGGGUCGACCUCGGUUUUGCCUCCUCGCCUCCUUCGAUGCACCACCAGGAGCUCUUAAAGCCUCGCUCUGCCCCGUCUUGCGAGCACACCGGCGCCUUGGGCCGAAGCCACUAGGACCCCAGGCUGGCCCCGUCCCUCCUCCUCCUCCUUUACUGUGCAACACCGCCGGCUACCUCUUAGAGUAUCGCCGCCGGACCAGCAGGUCCCCGUCUCACCGCCCCUCUCUUACUCCCUGCCUUUGCCUCCUUUGUUUUUUGUGUCUCCCGCUCUCACGUUCUUCAUUAGGCCCAGCAUCUCUGCUGCCAGGGACCUGCAGGAGGGAGCCACCGCGGGGAAUCGGCAGGCCCGACCUCCUCUUGCCUAGAUCUGGCCUCUGGGACCCAUCCCCGACCUUGCCUUCCUCCAAGCCUUCCUCGGCGUCGUCUUCACGCCGAUGCUUCCCUGAAACUCCAGCCUCGCCUGCUCCAGCGCUGGUCGCUGCGUUGACCGUGCCUCCAGCUUCCUGGGCCACAAGCGUGCAUCAGGCCCAGCGCCUCCUGACCUCGCAGCUGGGCUGCACCCAGCCAGCCUCUCUGCUGCAAGCUGCUCCACGGGCCUAAGGCUUCAAAGGCCCAUGGUUCUCGGUAUCAUUGCGAUUGAGAGGAUCCGUUCGACUACGUUGGUCCGUCUACUUCUUGGUUUCGGUCUUCUUCCUAGCGGAUCUCAGGCAAGAUGACCAUUACCCUCGAUAUCACUUCUAUAUUUGCUUGCUAGUUGUUUG
Triticum aestivum (bread wheat) is the source of this 1057-nucleotide long non-coding RNA. RefSeq lists it as uncharacterized. The record is from RefSeq and is a predicted model, not a curated record. The transcript has 3 exons. NCBI's taxonomy places the organism in Eukaryota, Viridiplantae, Streptophyta, Magnoliopsida, Poales, Poaceae.